UACAGAGGCCCCAAGCGUUACUGAGAAUCACUGGGUUUAAAGGGUGCGUAGGUGGCGCGUUAAGUCCGUUGUGAAAUCCCUGGGCUCAACCCAGGAACUGCUUCGGAUACUGGCGCGCUUGAGGCCGGUAGGGGUCACUGGAACUGACGGUGGAGCGGUGAAAUGCGUAGAUAUCGUCAGGAACACCGAUGGUGAAUGCAGGUGACUGGGCCGGAACUGACACUGAGGCACGAAAGCGUGGGGAGCAAACGGG
Molecule: ribosomal RNA, 253 nt
Filed under: uncultured bacterium
Lineage: Bacteria
Description: partial 16S ribosomal RNA
Rfam family: Bacterial small subunit ribosomal RNA
Source: RNAcentral